CCAGACUCCUACGGGAGGCAGCAGUGGGGGAUAUUGCACAAUGGGGGGAACCCUGAUGCAGCGACGCCGCGUGAGCGAGGAAGUAUUUCGGUAUGUAAAGCUCUGUCAGCAGGGAAGAAGAAUGACGGUACCUGAAGAAGAAGCACCGGCUAAAUACGUGCCAGCAGCCGCGGCAAUACGUAUGGUGCAAGCGUUAUCCGGAUUUACUGGGUGUAAAGGGAGCGCAGGCGGUUCUGCAAGUCUGAUGUGAAAGCCCGGGGCUCAACCCCGGGACUGCAUUGGAAACUGCAGGACUGGAGUGUCGGAAGGGUAAGCGGAAUUCCUGGUGUAGCGGUGAAAUGCGUAGAUAUACGGAGGAACACCAGUGGCGAAGGCGGAUUGCUGGACAGUAACUGACGCUGAGGCGCGAAAGCGUGGGGAGCAAACAGGAUUAGAUACCCGAGUAC
This 446-nucleotide ribosomal RNA is filed under the name uncultured bacterium. RNAcentral describes it as "partial 16S ribosomal RNA". It matches the Rfam family "Bacterial small subunit ribosomal RNA", at positions 331 to 793 of the family's 1533-position model. The record is from RNAcentral.